RNAcentral lists this transfer RNA (74 nucleotides) under Pteropus alecto (black flying fox). It matches the Rfam family "tRNA". Rfam says of the family: Transfer RNA (tRNA) molecules are approximately 80 nucleotides in length. Their secondary structure includes four short double-helical elements and three loops (D, anti-codon, and T loops). The record is from Rfam by way of RNAcentral. Lineage: Eukaryota; Metazoa; Chordata; Mammalia; Chiroptera; Pteropodidae.
GGCUCCAUAGUGCACUGGUUAGCACAUCUGCUUUACACACAUAAGGUCCUGGGUUCGCAUCCCAGGUGGAGCCA